Molecule: small RNA, 663 nt
Filed under: Pongo abelii (Sumatran orangutan)
Lineage: Eukaryota; Metazoa; Chordata; Mammalia; Primates; Hominidae
Description: processed transcript
Source: RNAcentral
GAAGCUGGAAGAUGUGGCUGACACGAACUACUUUUCAGUGAAUAAUGAAGGAGAGAUCUGCAUCAAGGGUACAAAUGUGUUCAAAGGAUACCUGAAGGACCCUGAGAAGACACAGGAAGCCCUGGACAGUGAUGGCUGGCUUCACACAGGAGACAUUGGUCGCUGGCUCCCGAAUGGAACUCUGAAGAUCAUCGACCGUAAAAAGAACAUUUUCAAGCUGGCCCAAGGAGAAUACAUUGCGCCAGAGAAGAUAGAAAAUAUCUACAACAGGAGUCAACCAGUGUUACAAAUUUUUGUACAUGGGGAGAGCUUACAGUCAUCCUUAGUAGGAGUGGUGGUUCCUGACACAGAUGUACUUCCCUCAUUUGCAGCCAAGCUUGGGGUGAAGGGCUCCUUCGAGGAACUGUGCCAAAACCAAGUAAGUCUUGCCUAGGAAAGCUUUAUGCACACCCAUGGGCCCAUCAUGGAGGGAUGCCUCACCAGUUCCUGCAUCUGUCACAAGUGGCUGCAGCCCAAACAGACUGAAUAGUUUUAUGAGACUUGGGGAUAGAAUGGAGAGUUUAAAAAAUAAAACUCUCUUUUCUAUUUAAAAUAAUAUGUUCAUUGUGGGAAAAGAUUGGGAAAGAAGAGUAAAAAUGCUAUUCAGAGAAAACUGUUAACACU